This 253-nucleotide ribosomal RNA is filed under the name uncultured bacterium. Its description in RNAcentral is "partial 16S ribosomal RNA". It matches the Rfam family "Bacterial small subunit ribosomal RNA", at positions 524 to 776 of the family's 1533-position model. The record is from RNAcentral.
UACGUAGGGGGCAAGCGUUGUCCGGAAUCAUUGGGCGUAAAGCGCGUGUAGGCGGUCCUGUAAGUCGGCUGUGAAAGUCCAGGGCUCAACCCUGGGAUGCCGGUGGAUACUGUCGGGCUCGAGUCCGGAAGAGGAGUGUGGAAUUCCUGGUGUAGCGGUGAAAUGCGCAGAUAUCAGGAGGAACACCAAUGGCGAAGGCAGCACUCUGGGACGUGACUGACGCUGAGACGCGAAAGCGUGGGGAGCAAACAGG